RNAcentral lists this ribosomal RNA (495 nucleotides) under uncultured bacterium. RNAcentral describes it as "partial 16S ribosomal RNA". It matches the Rfam family "Bacterial small subunit ribosomal RNA", at positions 30 to 507 of the family's 1533-position model. The record is from RNAcentral.
UGAACGCUGGCGGCGUGCCUAAUACAUGCACGUCGAGCGAACAGACGAGGAGCUUGCUCCUCUGACGUUAGCGGCGGACGGGUGAGUAACACGUGGAUAACCUACCUAUAAGACUGGGAUAACUUCGGGAAACCGGAGCUAAUACCGGAUAAUAUAUUGAACCGCAUGGUUCAAUAGUGAAAGACGGUUUUGCUGUCACUUAUAGAAGGAUCCGCGCCGCAUUAGCUAGUUGGUAAGGUAACGGCUUACCAAGGCAACGAUGCGUAGCCGACCUGAGAGGGUGAUCGGCCACACUGGAACUGAGACACGGUCCAGACUCCUACGGGAGGCAGCAGUAGGGAAUCUUCCGCAAUGGGCGAAAGCCUGACGGAGCAACGCCGCGUGAGUGAUGAAGGUCUUCGGAUCGUAAAACUCUGUUAUUAGGGAAGAACAAAUGUGUAAGUAACUAUGCACGUCUUGACGGUACCUAAUCAGAAAGCCACGGCUAACUACGUG